CCAGGAACCGAGCCGGCUCCCCGCUCUCGCGAGAGCCCGGCCGCCGGCGUGCGGCGCGGCGGGAGGCAGUGCGCGGGCGCGAGCCGCCGCCUCGCCCCGGAGUGGAGGCGCCUUGGCAACGCCCGCUGUGACGUCACGGCCCGCCCCGGGGAGCGCGCGGCGGCGCAACGGCCGCCGGCAGCGGGGCGGGGCGUUGUUGGGACGGGGCGUGGCGGGCUCGCGCGGCCGGCGAGGCGUUGGGGCGGGCGGGGCCUGGCGCGUUCUGAGAGGCAGCGAGGGCCGAAGCGCGGAGAGCUGCCCGCCGCCCCGUUCCCCUCCUGCUAGCCGCGGUGCCUCUCGUUAGUAAAACGUAAUUUGCACCCUCAUCAAAAUACAACACAAGGAAGACACCACUGCGGUGAAGGAGCAGGUCUCCAUAAAAAAGUGGUUUUUUUCCAGGUCAGUCUAAUAGAAGAUAGUGAAUUGUGAAUAAACACUCGAACGUUCCCCAAAACGGGUGCGAGAGCUAACCGCUCAAGUCACCUUCCCUCACGUUCCGUGGUUGAAGGAGCCGGACGAAGUUUGUGCAUACAGCAGCAUGGUUCUACAGACCAACUGAAUGAAAAAAUAGUGUCUGCUGGCUUGAAUCAGCCACCGCGGGGUACAGGCCCCGGCUGCAGGACGCGACUGAGCUCACCGCCACGCGCGUGGCCUCUGCUCAGGCGAGGCGCACUCCCCCCGUCACCCCCGCUCGCCCUCCCAGCUGCCCCGACCAGGGCGCGCAUCCCAGAACAACCCUGGGGCGCACAAAAUGAAUGAAACUGAGCAGGAAGGUUACUGCUUUAGCUUCAACAUUUCACUUACUUCUGAGAAACUCUGCCUCUACCAUAGAGAUACAACUUACUGGGAAAAUGCCUGGCAACAAUGAUGGAUCCGGUAAGAAUCUUCAAGAGUAACUCAUGAUAAUUACUACAAAUGAUGGAUUUUAUAACUGCAAGAAAAUUUUGAGAGCCUCCAUAUUAACAACUUUAUUUUCUGUUCUAAACUGUAUGGGAUUUUUUUCUAUUCCAUUUUACCAUAAUAAACUAUUUCA
Phalacrocorax carbo (great cormorant) is the source of this 1072-nucleotide non-coding RNA. The record is from RefSeq and is a predicted model, not a curated record. NCBI's taxonomy places the organism in Eukaryota, Metazoa, Chordata, Aves, Suliformes, Phalacrocoracidae.